Molecule: RNA transcript, 2251 nt
Organism: Periophthalmus magnuspinnatus
Lineage: Eukaryota; Metazoa; Chordata; Actinopteri; Gobiiformes; Gobiidae
Gene: ndufa10
Gene name: NADH:ubiquinone oxidoreductase subunit A10
Exons: 10
Source: RefSeq, a predicted model, not a curated record
CGUGACGCACAAACCACGCGACGGUUCAGCUGAGGUCGGAGCGUUUUUGGAAGACAGAUAAAGAUGGCCCUGAGGGUGAUCCGUGUGGUUAUUCCCUCUGGGACAGCUGCUCUCAGCUCUGUCAACAUCGUGCAAAAGGCACGUGUCCACACCAGUCCAAUCAGGAGCCUGCGUUAUGGCUGGUGGGCUUAUGCUCUAGGUGAGAGGACCACACCCAGACUGACCCGCCUCAGUAAAAUCUUCUCUGUAGAAGGAAACCUGGCAUCUGGGAAAGGCGCCCUGGCACAGAAACUGGCCGACAAACUGGGGAUGCUGUACAUGCCUGAGGCUGACACGUUUUACAUGGACAAGAUGACCGGGGAGAAGCAGGCUCUUCCUGUGGACUUUAACGGCAUGUGCAGCCUGGAGAAGUUCUACACUGACCCUAAAGCUGCCGACGGAAACAGCUACAGGCUCCAGCACUGGAUGUACAUCAUGAGGCUGCUGCAGUACGCAGACGCCAUCGAACACAUGCUCACAACAGGUCAGGGAGUGAUCCUGGAGCGCUCCCCGUUUAGUGAUGUGGUUUUCCUGGAGGCCAUGUCCAAACAGGGCUACAUCAGAAAAGCCUGUGUGGACCACUAUAACGAGAUCAAACACAUCAGUAUUUGUGAGUUUCUGCCUCCUCACCUGGUGAUCUACAUCGACCAACCAGCCGAAGAGGUGCAGAAGAAACUGAAACAGAGCAGCAAGCCCUAUCUUCAUAACGUCCCUCUGGAGUAUCUGAAGAGCAUUGAGGACAGCUACAAGAAGACGUACCUGCCUUCAGUCAGUGACUCCUCUGAGCUUCUCGCUUAUGACAUCACUCAAGCCCAAGACAUUGAAAAGGUGGCAGAGGACAUCGAGUACUUGUCCUUUGAGAAGGGGCCGUGGCUGGAGCAGGACGACGUCACCUACCAUCACAUGAGGAUGCUGGUUGAAGACAAAAACAGAGUGGCCGCACUGACCCAUAUACCCAAGUUUCUUCCAGAAAUCACCAUCGGAGCCCACGACUUUGAUGAGAAAUACUACGCCUACAGAUCGGUAUGAUGUUUAAAUCAGUUUGAAGCUGUGCAGACGAUGGGCUUUAACACUGGGUACGACCUCAGAGCAGCUUGAUCACAGACGACAGUUUAACGAUUCCACAACUGGCACCAGAGGGCCCCAUGUCACAGACUCUACAGGGACAUUCUGUACUGAACAGGAGACACGGCACGGAGGAGACUGAUGGACAAUGGUCUACAGUCCAACAGCCAAUCAGGACGCACAACGCAAUGCAUGUUCAUACACUGUAAAAAAAAAACAACAACAAACAAAAUCACGUAAAACUGCACAAAAAAAAAUCUGCAAAACAGCGAGACCACGAAAGGUGAACUGCGAUAUAGCGAGAGACCACUGUAUAUGUAAAUGGACAUAGCUAACCUGCUAGCCACUGUGUUCCAAAGAGGAAAUGAUCAUGGGCGCAGCUUGACUCCAUUGACUCUGUAUAACUCUAUAAUAACAGAUGAAUGUGUGUAUAAAGAAGUGACUGAAGUGGAUGGAGAAUGUUAGCGUGUUAUCUGUGUCUUUUUAUAUACAGUCUAUGGUCGGGGUUCAUGGGGGCAGAGGUCUUCAGAUCCUUCUCACUUCUGUACUAUUUGCCGCUUUGAACCUUUAAAAACACGGAGUCGGCGUCGCUGAACUAACUCCCUUUCCUCCGAUGCAAAAAGUCAAAUGCCAGACGUCGUAGGAGCCGAGUGCAUCAGUCUCACACAGAAACACUGUCGGAGAGUUUGACCUUUUCUCUUUAUUGACUGGAGAGUUUUUCAUGCAAAAGAAGAAGAAGAGAGAGGCGGAGGAGGGAGGGAGCGCACCACACGAGCCUCGGACUUGACAUUUUGUUGUUUAAUCUUGGUCCCGGUGGAGGGGCCGCGGGUGGAGUCAAAGGCAUAUGUAAUCUCUAUUAGAAACAGAAGUCACACAAGGGCAGUGUUUGUUUUACUGAUCCCACUUUAAUUUAGCCUCUAACAUGAAACUCUUCUGUUUAUCUCAGAGUCUGACCUUAACCAAAGCCUCUGCUCUUCCUGUAGCUGCCUGGAAAGAAGUACACCCCCGGUUAUAACGCCGACAUCGGGGACAAGAACGUGCUCUUCAAGUGAAACACAGUCCACACUUUGGUCUCGACGAUAUAAUGGAUCUGUCCAAAACACGCUGUAAAUCUUAAAUGUAAAUUAAAAUGUUAAGUUUUGAAUCU